GACGAACGCUGGCGGCGGGCUUAACACAUGCAAGUCGAACGGAAGGGCCGUGCGUUCGUGGGGUGCUCGAGUGGCGAAGGGGGGAGGAACACGUGAGUAACCUGCCCUUGACUUUGGGAUAACUUCAGGAAAGUGGGGCUAAGACCGGAUAGGAGCUGCUGUAGCGGGGGGGGGGUUGGAAAGUUUCGGCGGGGGGGGCUGGACGCGCGGCUUAUCAGCUGGUUGGUGGGGUAGUGGCUUACCAAGGCUUUGACGGGUAGCCGGCCUGAGAGGGUGACCGGCCACCUUGGGCCUGCGAUACGGCCCAGACUCCUACGGUAGGCAGCAGUGGGGAAUCUUGCCCAAUGGGCGGACGCCUGAUGCAGCAACCCCGCGUGCGUGAUGCCGGCCUUCGGGUUGUAAACCGCUUUCGCCUGUGACGAAGCGUGAGUGACGGUACUGGGUAAAGAAGCACCGGCUAACUACGUG
This 468-nucleotide ribosomal RNA is filed under the name uncultured bacterium. RNAcentral's name for it is "partial 16S ribosomal RNA". It matches the Rfam family "Bacterial small subunit ribosomal RNA", at positions 28 to 507 of the family's 1533-position model. The record is from RNAcentral.